AGCCCUAGCACAGGUGCUGCAUGGCCGUCGUCAGGCUCGUGCCGUGAGGUGUUCGGGUUAAGUCCCCGCAACGAGCGCAACCCCGCCGUUAGUUGCCAGCGGUUCGGCCGGGCACGUCUAACGGGACUGCCCGCGAAAGCGGGAGGAAGAGGGGACGACGUCUGGUCAGCAUGGCCCUUACGGCCUGGGCGACACACGUGCUACAAUGCCCACUACAAAGCGAGGCCACCGGCAACGGGAGCUAAUCGCAAAAAGGUGGGCCCAGUUCGGAUUGGGGUCUGCAACCCGACCCCAUGAAGCCGGAAUCGCUAGUAAUCGCGGAUCAGCCAUGCCGCGGUGAAUACGUUCCCGGGCCUU
This 357-nucleotide ribosomal RNA is filed under the name uncultured Thermus sp. RNAcentral's name for it is "bacterial SSU rRNA". It matches the Rfam family "Bacterial small subunit ribosomal RNA", at positions 1025 to 1382 of the family's 1533-position model. The record is from RNAcentral. Lineage: Bacteria; Thermotogati; Deinococcota; Deinococci; Thermales; Thermaceae.